UUCAAAUAAAUCCACUUAACUACUACGAUAAAUUCAAAGUUGAUAAACUACAUAUCAUUGCUUUAAAUUUUGGCUUAUUCGCUUUUUUUGUGGUAUUUUCGUACAUUUUUUUAUAAAACAAAAUAUUUGUGUAAUGUAAACAUCAACAUUUGAUCAAAAACAGGUCCAGAACAUUGUAACGGAAAAUUUAAGGCCAUACAACUACAUGUUAUGGCUUUCAAUUUUGUUUUAUUGACUGUUUUGUAUAAAAAUUAUAAUAUUUUUGUAGCUUUUCGAGUAAAAUAAAUUAAGUUUGUCAUGAAAACGUCACUAUUACUCAUCAAGAACGUCCAGUACGCUUUCACGAAUAAUUUAAAGGGAAAAAACUACUUUGCAUUGUAAGCCAUUAUUUUUGUUUACCACUUUGCGUGAAAAAUGUGGUACUUUCGUUGAUUUUUGAGUAAAUCAAAAUUUGAGUGUUAUGAAACCAUCACUAUUAUUCUUCAAGUAUGUCCCCCAAACUGCUACGAACAUUUCAAGGCUAAAAAACUACAUGUUAUCGUUUUAAAUUUAGUUUUGUUGACUACUUUGUGUAAAAAGUAUGGAAUUUUCGUAGUUUUCCAGGUAAAACAAAAUAAGAGUGUGAUUAGAACAUUUUCAUUGUUCAUCAGAAAUGUCAAGUACAAUCCUACGAACAAUUUAAGACCAAAAAAACUAUAUGUCAUCGCUUUGAAUUUUGAUUUAUUGCUUAUUUUAUGUGAAAAAUAGGGUAUUUUAGCAGUUUUUUGAGUAAGGUAGAAUAUCAGUGUACUGAGAAAUCACUAAUUUUGCAUAAACAUGUUUACUCCAGCUGUACGCAUGAUAAAGAGUCGAAAAAACCAUAUGUCAUCGCUUUAAAUUAUGUUUUAUUGAUCAAUGUGCGAAAAAAAUGCGCUCUCAAAAAAACUAGGAAGUGCCUUUUGCUUAAUAACUUUGGGUUGACGCAUCUAUUUUCUAUUUUUUCAAAUGGACGAUGAUCUUGAAACCUGUCCGGUUCCAUCGCAAAAAAAAGUUUUGAAAUCGGUUGAAAAACGGCCGAGAAAUGCCUUGUAAAAGUUGGACUUCCUACUUUUUUUGGACCCUUGGUAGUUCGCGGGAGUUUUUACACCCCCUCAGUAGUUUAAGUGUUAAUAUCUUGUGUAACAAUGUCCAAACUUUCGAUUGACGCAAAAGAUUUGCGUCUUAACAUCUUUUCGCCGAGUGGAAAGUUUCUGUUAUCUAGUACAGGGCAGCUAUUUAUCUCGACAACUCUAUGAUGACCAAGGAUACCAGAUGAUUUUUUUAAUCUGUGUCCCACACAAAAUCCGGAAGAAACAUCUGUAUCCCAUAUAAAAAUAACAACUACUCUAACUCAAAAAUCUGUAUUUCAAUUUAUGCAUGAUAUCUUACGUCAUGCAAUAGUUAAUGGGUUCAUGUUAUGCGUCACAAUUUUUCAUGAACAUACUACAAUGUGCCAUAUCAUGUAUUUACUAUAAUAUUUUUAAAUUCUCUUAGACACCUUUGUUUACAGAAAGCAUGUUGCUCUACGUGAGGAAUACAGAACUUAUCCUUGUUUUAUUGUAAAACCGAUAUUUCCUCGCUAAAAUUUCACCUAGUUCCUCAGGGGGUCAAAAAGAUCUCCUUUACCCUAUCACACAAACGUAUUGAUUUGUACAGGUACCGCAAAGCGAUGCACGUUUUGCAAAGUAUUGUGAAAUUUGUCAUUUAUUAAAUUUCCAAUUCCAUUUGUAUCGUAGAG
Molecule: long non-coding RNA, 1756 nt
Organism: Aedes albopictus (Asian tiger mosquito)
Lineage: Eukaryota; Metazoa; Arthropoda; Insecta; Diptera; Culicidae
Exons: 2
Source: RefSeq, a predicted model, not a curated record